UACAGAGGGGGCAAGCGUUAUUCGGAAUUAUUGGGCGUAAAGGGCGCGUAGGCGGCUUUGCAAGUGGCGGGUGAAAUCCCUCGGCUUAACCGAGGAACUGCCUGCCAGACUGUGAGGCUUGAGACCGGGAGAGGUGAGUGGAAUUCCCAGUGUAGCGGUGAAAUGCGUAGAUAUCUGGAGGAACACCGGUGGCGAAGGCGGCAUCCUGGACCGGCAUUGACGCUGAGGCGCGAAAGCCAGGGGAGCAAACGGG
RNAcentral lists this ribosomal RNA (253 nucleotides) under uncultured bacterium. RNAcentral describes it as "partial 16S ribosomal RNA". It matches the Rfam family "Bacterial small subunit ribosomal RNA", at positions 524 to 776 of the family's 1533-position model. The record is from RNAcentral.